GGUGUCUAUUUUUGUCUAACUUGUGGAGUAAGACUUAUGGACAGGUACAAAAAAUAGAUCCCCUUUUGGAACCUAGGGCUUAUUGUUUAGUAUGAAUUUUGAUGCAUAUAAGAAAGAACACU
RNAcentral lists this small nucleolar RNA (122 nucleotides) under Chinchilla lanigera (long-tailed chinchilla). RNAcentral describes it as "Small nucleolar RNA SNORA40 (ENSCLAG00000018674.1)". It matches the Rfam family "Small nucleolar RNA SNORA40". From Rfam's summary of the family: The snoRNA ACA 40 belongs to the H/ACA family of snoRNAs and guides the pseudouridylation of 28S rRNA subunit at position U4565. NB This family has a high threshold value to exclude a large number of closely related sequences that do not appear to have conserved H and ACA boxes, and may be pseudogenes. The record is from Rfam by way of RNAcentral. Lineage: Eukaryota; Metazoa; Chordata; Mammalia; Rodentia; Chinchillidae.